This 468-nucleotide ribosomal RNA is filed under the name uncultured bacterium. RNAcentral's name for it is "partial 16S ribosomal RNA". It matches the Rfam family "Bacterial small subunit ribosomal RNA", at positions 28 to 507 of the family's 1533-position model. The record is from RNAcentral.
GACGAACGCUGGCGGCGUGCUUAACACAUGCAAGUCGAACGGAAAGGCCCUGCUUUUGUGGGGUGCUCGAGUGGCGAACGGGUGAGUAACACGUGAGUAACCUGCCCUUGACUUUGGGAUAACUUCAGGAAACUGGGGCUAAUACCGGAUAGGAGCUCCUGCUGCAUGGGGGGGGUUGGAAAGUUUCGGAGGUUGGGGAUGGACUCGCGGCUUAUCAGCUUGUUGGGGGGGUAGUGGCUUACCAAGGCUUUGACGGGUAGCCGGCCUGAGAGGGUGACCGGCCACAUUGGGGCUGAGAUACGGCCCAGACGCCUACGGGAGGCAGAAGUGGAGAAUAUUGCACAAUGGGCGGAAGCCUGAUGCAGCAACGCCGCGUGCGGGAUGACGGCCUUCGGGUUGUAAACCGCUUUCGCCUGUGACGAAGCGUGAGUGACGGUAAUGGGUAAAGAAGCACCGGCUAACUACGUG